Molecule: long non-coding RNA, 751 nt
Filed under: Homo sapiens (human)
Lineage: Eukaryota; Metazoa; Chordata; Mammalia; Primates; Hominidae
Description: non-protein coding lnc-TWSG1-3:1
Source: RNAcentral
GUUUUGUUUUAGGUAAAAGUUUUUCUGAAAAUUUUCCACAGCUUUGUUCAAAGGAUUCUUUUUGUCUCUGACCUACUUUUAAUGUCUGCAUUUUUUUUGGAAAUUCAGAGUCAUAGAACUCUUCUCUGUGUGUAAAAGCAUUCAGACAGAGCUGCUGCCCAUCCUUGCAACAGCUAGGGGCUGAACUCCUGCUCUGCUGAGUUUUGGGUUUAUUCUCUAACCUGUGGCAAUGUGCUGUAGUCAGCCCGACUUAUGCUACUGUCAUGGACAGUGCUAAUAAUAAUACUGCCUUUUGCUGGAGAUGUUAGUUCUCACUUAUGCAUUUUAAGACCUUUUGCUGGAAGUGUUAGUUCUUGCUUAUCUAAUUUUAAACGAAUAUGAAAGACAAUUUAAGUGAUUUUGUACAUUUUAAUUUACUCAUCUACAUUUUCUUGUAUUUUUUGGAUUAAAGUGUACCUGUAUGCUCUUUCUUUCUGUGGAACACUUCAUUUGUAGUGUCCAAUUUUUAAAAAGAAAACAUUUUGAUAACAGUUUCAGAGUAAUGACAAACCAAACACACAUUCUAAUUGUCUACUUGUACAAUUUGUUGGGUAGGUACUAUAGGGGGAAGAAUUAAAUAUACAUGAGGAAGAGAAAAAAUCUUUGCCAAGAAUUUCAGUUAUUAUCACUUAUGGUUUACCCAUAUUGUCAUAAAAGUAAGAAAAUGGGAAUUCUAAUUUUCUGUCACAAAAUAAAGAUUAUAUAAAAAUAA